This 505-nucleotide ribosomal RNA is filed under the name uncultured bacterium. RNAcentral describes it as "bacterial SSU rRNA". It matches the Rfam family "Bacterial small subunit ribosomal RNA", at positions 16 to 518 of the family's 1533-position model. The record is from RNAcentral.
AUCAUGGCUCAGGAUGAACGCUAGCGACAGGCUAACACAUGCAAGUCGAGGGCAGCAUAAAAGUAGCAAUACUUGGUGGCGACCGGCGCACGGGUGAGUAACGCGUAUGCAACUACCUAUCAGAGGGGAAUAACCGGCGAAAGUCGGACUAAUACCGCAUAAAACAGGGGCACCGCAUGGUGAUAUUUGUUAAAGAAAUUCGCUGAUAGAUGGGCAUGCGUUCCAUUAGGUAGUUGGUGAGGUAACGGCUCACCAAGCCGACGAUGGAUAGGGAACUGAGAGGUUGGUCCCCCACACUGGUACUGAGACACGGACCAGACUCCUACGGGAGGCAGCAGUGAGGAAUAUUGGUCAAUGGGCGGGAGCCUGAACCAGCCAAGUCGCCGUGAAGGAAGAAGGAUCUAUGGUUCGUAAACUUCUUUUGCAGGGGAAUAAAGUGCAGGACGUGUCCUGUUUUGUAUGUACCCUGAGAAUAAGGAUCGGCUAACUCCGUGCCAGCCGCCGC